AGUGAACGCUGGCGGUAGGCCUAACACAUGCAAGUCGAACGGCAGCACAGUAAGAGCUUGCUCUUACGGGUGGCGAGUGGCGGACGGGUGAGGAAUACAUCGGAAUCUACUUUUUCGUGGGGGAUAACGUAGGGAAACUUACGCUAAUACCGCAUACGACCUACGGGUGAAAGCAGGGGAUCUUCGGACCUUGCGCGAUUGAAUGAGCCGAUGUCGGAUUAGCUAGUUGGCGGGGUAAAGGCCCACCAAGGCGACGAUCCGUAGCUGGUCUGAGAGGCAGAACAGCCACACUGGAACUGGGACACGGUCCAGACUCCUACGGGAGGAAGCAGUGGGGAAUUUUGGACAAUGGGGGCAAGCCUGAUCCAGCCAUGCCGCGUGAGGGAAGAAGGCCUUCGGGUUGUAAAGCCCUUUUGUUGGGGAAGAAAAGGUAGAGGUUAAUACCCCGCGGUUCUGACGGUACCCGAAGAAUAAGCACCGGCUAACUUCGUG
RNAcentral lists this ribosomal RNA (492 nucleotides) under uncultured bacterium. Its description in RNAcentral is "partial 16S ribosomal RNA". It matches the Rfam family "Bacterial small subunit ribosomal RNA", at positions 29 to 507 of the family's 1533-position model. The record is from RNAcentral.